Small nuclear RNA from Heterocephalus glaber (naked mole-rat), 154 nucleotides. Its record names the gene U2. It matches the Rfam family "U2 spliceosomal RNA". Rfam says of the family: U2 is a small nuclear RNA (snRNA) component of the spliceosome (involved in pre-mRNA splicing). Complementary binding between U2 snRNA (in an area lying towards the 5' end but 3' to hairpin I) and the branchpoint sequence (BPS) of the intron results the bulging out of an unpaired adenosine, on the BPS, which initiates a nucleophilic attack at the intronic 5' splice site, thus starting the first of two transesterification reactions that mediate splicing. NCBI's taxonomy places the organism in Eukaryota, Metazoa, Chordata, Mammalia, Rodentia, Bathyergidae. The record is from Ensembl.
AUUGCUUCUCAGCCUUUUGGCUAAGAUCAAGUGUAGUACAUUUUUUGGCAGACUCUACAUAUCUACAUAUAUAAUGUAUAAUGAUUAGAUAAGGGUAAUUGGCAUCUAUAUUUCCUCAGGCAUAUAUCAUUUCCUUGUGAUGAGAACAUUCAAA